AUGCAUCUCCGACAGACCUAGAGCAGUUCGUGUCUGCUGCUAAGGGUUCCACUACAGAUACAAGAGAAAGAAAGUCUUUGUUCUCUCUGUCUGUCUGAUUGUAGCAGCCAAGAUUGAACGGGGGAAUACAGGA
Molecule: small nucleolar RNA, 133 nt
Filed under: Dasypus novemcinctus (nine-banded armadillo)
Lineage: Eukaryota; Metazoa; Chordata; Mammalia; Cingulata; Dasypodidae
Description: Small nucleolar RNA SNORA31 (ENSDNOG00000038025.1)
Rfam family: Small nucleolar RNA SNORA31
About the family: ACA31 (SNORA31) belongs to the H/ACA class of snoRNAs which are thought to guide the sites of modification of uridines to pseudouridines. ACA31 is predicted to guide the pseudouridylation of U3713 in 28S rRNA and U218 in 18S rRNA.
Source: RNAcentral